RNAcentral lists this ribosomal RNA (427 nucleotides) under uncultured bacterium. RNAcentral's name for it is "partial 16S ribosomal RNA". It matches the Rfam family "Bacterial small subunit ribosomal RNA", at positions 355 to 774 of the family's 1533-position model. The record is from RNAcentral.
UGGGGAAUAUUGCACAAUGGGCGCAAGCCUGAUGCAGCCAUGCCGCGUGUAUGAAGAAGGCCUUCGGGUUGUAAAGUACUUUCAGCGAGGAGGAAGGCGGUAAGGUUAAUAACCUUAUCGAUUGACGUUACUCGCAGAAGAAGCACCGGCUAACUCCGUGCCAGCAGCCGCGGCAAUACGGAGGGUGCAAGCGGUAAUCGGAAUUACUGGGCGUAAAGCGCACGCAGGCGGUCUGUCAAGUCGGAUGUGAAAUCCCCGGGCUCAACCUGGGAACUGCAUUCGAAACUGGCAGGCUAGAGUCUUGUAGAGGGGGGUAGAAUUCCAGGUGUAGCGGUGAAAUGCGUAGAGAUCUGGAGGAAUACCGGUGGCGAAGGCGGUCCCCUGGACAAAGACUGACGCUCAGGUGCGAAAGCGUGGGGAGCAAACA